GCGGGAGUAGCCAAGACCGGUCAAAGGCGGCGGACUUAAGAUCCGCUCUUGCAGAAGUUCGCGGGUUCAAGUCCCGCCUCCCGCACCA
Molecule: transfer RNA, 88 nt
Filed under: Candidatus Thorarchaeota archaeon
Lineage: Archaea; Promethearchaeati; Candidatus Thorarchaeota
Description: tRNA-Leu
Rfam family: tRNA
About the family: Transfer RNA (tRNA) molecules are approximately 80 nucleotides in length. Their secondary structure includes four short double-helical elements and three loops (D, anti-codon, and T loops).
Source: RNAcentral